This 349-nucleotide ribosomal RNA is filed under the name Acanthamoeba sp. RNAcentral describes it as "SSU rRNA". It matches the Rfam family "Eukaryotic small subunit ribosomal RNA", at positions 780 to 1109 of the family's 1831-position model. The record is from RNAcentral. Lineage: Eukaryota; Discosea; Longamoebia; Acanthamoebidae.
AUAUUUUUCCUGCCACCGAAUACAUUAGCAUGGGAUAAUGGAAUAGGACCCUGACCUCCUAUUUUCAGUUGGUUUUGUUUACAGCGAGGUUAUAUCAGGGUAAUGAUUAAUAGGGAUAGUUGGGGGCAUUAAUAUUUAAUUGUCAGAGGUGAAAUUCUUGGAUUUAUGAAAGAUUAACUUCUGCGAAAGCGUUUGCCAAGGAUGUUUUCAUUAAUCAAGAACGAAAGUUAGGGGAUCGAAGACGAUCAGAUACCGUCGUAGUCUUAACCAUAAACGAUGCCGACCAGCGAUUACGAGACGUUGAAUACAAAACACCGCUGUUAAUCCUUUCGGGGGCUAAUAGUUGGUG